AAAUGUGAAAAGAAAGGAAAAAAAUGCCUAAGUCUUUUCGAACAUAUUAGGGUGAAAAUAAACCCUAAUUCAUUCAUUUCAUCCCUUGUUUCUCUCUAUUGCUCUUUCUGAGUGCUGCCAUGUUGCAGUCAACUGGGUUUUUUUUGGGCAUUUGUUUGUAGAAAUUUGCCACUCCUUAUGCCGCCAUAGAUGAGCUUUUAUUUAUACACCACAACUCGGCUUUGGAUUGCUUCAUGAUUGGCAAAAAUAUGGGUAAUAUUUCUGCUCUUUUUUGUUUGAGGUGCCACCAUGAUCUUCACUCCUUGAGGGUUCAAACGAGUUUUUUUGGAAAUGAUUUGCAAUUUCGAGCACAGGCAGGCCGAGUCUAGCAAUAGAGCAACUUCUGAAGCAAUCCAAGUGGAAGGAGACGAAGAUUCAACAAUUCAACCUUGGGGUUCGUCAUUCAGGCAAUGACGGAUCCCUAUUCUUUUCUUAUGUUCUUCAUUUUCAAAUGUAUAGUUUUCUUUUAUGAUGCAUUGAAUCAGUUACUCCCACGACUUGUGUGGGACACUAUACUUUUGAUGUUCAUGAAUAAAGAAAGCAACCUUCUACGCAAAGUUGUAAACUGUUCUUUCUUGAAAACACUUGCAUUGAAUCAGUUACUCAUUUGAUAGCAUCUGUUACUUGUAUGAGCACUUAGCAUAAUCAAAUAUGUACUUUUAAUC
Molecule: long non-coding RNA, 704 nt
Organism: Cryptomeria japonica (Japanese cedar)
Lineage: Eukaryota; Viridiplantae; Streptophyta; Pinopsida; Cupressales; Cupressaceae
Exons: 2
Source: RefSeq, a predicted model, not a curated record